CGGGACCGGUUGGAGCAGGGACUCUUUAAACACGUGCGUCUGGAGGAGGUGGGAAGCUGCGGAAGGGUAUGGUGUGUGCCUCGCGCCUAAACGCGGCAGCCGCCCCUCCCGGUUCUUGCAGUUUCGCCUAUCGAAGUGGGAAGUGUGGGGACUUGGGGCGUUGCCUAGUGUUGGUUGGGGAUACAGUGCAAGCCUUGGAUCCCAAAGCUGCUUGGAUGGAUUUUACCAAACUGUAGCAUACUCAGUGCUUAGGACUGCGUUUACUGCUCUGCUCCCAGACCCUGCAAAAUUCUCCAUUAACGUCCUUCCGUUGCAUCCUCUACCCUCCCCAGCCAUCCGACCUUGGGACUAGGGAAACGUGGACUUGGUGGGCUAUUCUGCGCUGAAGAGGCAGCAACGAGGGCUCGGUGGUAUUGGUGUUGGUCCUAGUGGAAUUGUCAAGAGGAUGCUUUUGGAGGUAGACCGUUUUCUAGCUGCAAGUUACCUAACCUCUUUAAUCCUUAGUUUCCUUAUCAGAAAAACAUAAAUAAGAGUAGAGUCAAGCCAUUUCAAAGGAUUAAAAGGGAACAUAAGUAAAUAACCUAGCACUUGGUAUACAUUCAAUAAGUGGUAGGGAUUAUUAAUUGCACCCUUUCCCCCAGUGGCCCAGCAUCUUGGAAGUUCACCAUGCUUUGCAGGAGAUUCCUGACGCUGCAGUGAAAGAGGUCCAAUCAUUCCAGAUAGAACUUCAGUUUCAGACAAGUCAUCAAAUCCAGAAAGCAAGGAAAAAUACCCUGAAAGACGACUGGCAAAUCUCGGUGAAAGAGUAGACGCACCUCAUGGAUUGGAGUGAAUCUUAGAGCACCUGGUACCUUGCACACGACCUGAUGCCUGGAGGUACAGCAGCCAUCUUGUGACCAUAAGGAGGAAAUCAACGCAUUAAGAAGGGAAAAGCUAAGAACAUACAGAGAGCAAGGACCACUGACAACAUGAUCAAGCCACUCUACCAGGCCUUAACUUCCUAUUCCCUGACUUCUUAUUGAAAGAGACAAUAAAACUUCUCAUUUGUUGUAACCCACAGAAGUAAGGCAUUCUGUUACUUAUGGGUGAACACAAUUCUUAACUGAUGCCAUGGUUUAACGGGAGUAGGGAUCCUGGUAUGACAGGAAAUUGAGAUAAUCAGUUUAUGGCUAGUGUAGCAGCUCCAAGACACGAUUAAUGUCCCAAGCUCUUUUGCCCUCCUGACUUGCUAGCCUCAGUAUGUGGAUUUUGUUCUCCCAGUCUGAAGGCAUAACUUUUGGGGAAGAGUAAAAGAAGCCCUCUCCAGAGAUCUGCUACAUCUCAUUGGCCAGAACUCUAACAUUUGGCCGCCACUACCUAGUUGCAAGUGAAUCUGAGAAGGUGAGUGUUUUUUCAUUUCAGCCUUUAUGAAAUAGAAAGGCAAAGGAAGGGGGGUUUGAGCAGCCUUUGAACAGCCAGUUCAUGUUUUUGCUAUACUGCUCUAGUCAGGUUUUCUAUUACCAGCAGCCUAAUACAAUUUCCAGGUGCCCCAAGUUGUGCUGACAACUUGGUGUAUAAGAGAGACAGUGCUUUGGGGUUAGUAUGAUCAGGGAAAGUUCACUGACAAAGUGGCAACCUAAGGCAAAUUACAUCACACUUUUUCUCUGCUUGUAAGUAAGUCUGAAUGUUCCAUGUUUUCCUGACCUAUUCUU
Molecule: long non-coding RNA, 1691 nt
Filed under: Pan troglodytes (chimpanzee)
Lineage: Eukaryota; Metazoa; Chordata; Mammalia; Primates; Hominidae
Description: long non-coding RNA NONPTRT001461
Source: RNAcentral